RNAcentral lists this transfer RNA (73 nucleotides) under Eogystia hippophaecolus. RNAcentral describes it as "tRNA-Lys". The record is from RNAcentral. Lineage: Eukaryota; Metazoa; Arthropoda; Insecta; Lepidoptera; Cossidae.
CAUUAGAUGACUGAAAUAGCAAGUAUUGGUCUUUUAAGCCAUCCCAUAGUAAAUUAGCAAUUACUUCUAAUGA